UACGGGGGAGCAAGCGUUGUUCGGAUUUACUGGGCGUAAAGGGCGCGUAGGCGGCCACCGCAAGUCGGUUGUGAAAUCUCCGGGCUUAACCCGGAAAGGUCAAUCGAUACUGCGGGGCUAGAGUGCAGAAGGGGCAACUGGAAUUCCUGGUGUAGCGGUGAAAUGCGCAGAUAUCAGGAGGAACACCGGUGGCGAAGGCGGGUCUCUGGGCCGAUACUGACGCUGAGGAGCGAAAGCGUGGGGAGCGAACAGG
This 253-nucleotide ribosomal RNA is filed under the name uncultured bacterium. RNAcentral's name for it is "partial 16S ribosomal RNA". It matches the Rfam family "Bacterial small subunit ribosomal RNA", at positions 524 to 776 of the family's 1533-position model. The record is from RNAcentral.